Molecule: ribosomal RNA, 301 nt
Filed under: uncultured bacterium
Lineage: Bacteria
Description: partial 16S ribosomal RNA
Rfam family: Bacterial small subunit ribosomal RNA
Source: RNAcentral
CAGUAGCCGCGGGAAUACGAAGGGGGCUAGCGUUGCUCGGAAUGACUGGGCGUAAAGGGCGCGUAGGCGGCGGCCAAAGUCAGGCGUGAAAUUCCCGGGCUCAACCUGGGGGCUGCGUUUGAUACUUGGUUGCUUGAGUGGGGAAGAGGGUCGUGGAAUUCCCAGUGUAGAGGUGAAAUUCGUAGAUAUUGGGAAGAACACUGGUGGCGAAGGCGGCGACCUGGUCCUUUACUGACGCUGAGGCGCGAAAGCGUGGGGAGCAAACAGGAUUAGAUACCCGUGUAGUCCCUGUCUCUUAUAC